Molecule: ribosomal RNA, 409 nt
Filed under: uncultured microorganism
Description: bacterial SSU rRNA
Rfam family: Archaeal small subunit ribosomal RNA
Source: RNAcentral
CAGCCGCCGCGGUAAUACCGGCGGCCCGAGUGGCGGCCGUGUUUAUUGGGCCUAAAGGGUCCGUAGCCGGCCCCGUAAGGCUCCCGGGAAAUCGGGCGGCUCAACCGUCCGCUUCCGGGAGAUACUGCGGGGCUAGGGACCGGGAGAGGCCGGGGGUACUCCCGGGGUAGGGGGAAAAUCCUAUAAUCCCGGGGGACCACCUGUGGCGAAGGCGCCCGGCUGGAACGGGUCCGACGGUGAGGGACGAAGGCCGGGGGAGCAAACCGGAUUAGAUACCCGGGUAGUCCUGGCUGUAAACGAUGCGGACUUUGUGUCGGACAAGCUAUGAGCUUGUCCGGUGCCGGAGGGAAACCGUUAAGUCCGCCGCCUGGGGAGUACGGCCGCAAGGCUGAAACUUAAGAAUGGCGGG